CGCCGCUCACCCAGUCCGUGUAGAAGCCGCCGUAGAGCCGGUGCAGGCAGUUGUCGGCGUCGAUGAGGAGGCGCAGCGGGGUCUGGGGGGGCCGCUGGCGGCCCCCACCCACGAGGCUGCCCCGCGCCAGCUUCUGCAGCUCGACGGGCACCACGGCGCUGGGGCAGUGCUUCUCGAUGUAGUCCUGGAAACCCUGCACUCCCAUGGAAGCGCCGUCACGGCCAGAGCGCUCUCACAAAUCUCACAACAGCAGACCCGAGCUGACGCCAGAUAAGUGCUGCUCUGUUUUCGUCUGAACACUUCAAAUAAAUUUCACGUGGAGUUGUAUCCUGUUUUACAGCUGGACAGCUUACAUGUCACCAGACUGAGUUAUUUAGGGUCGCUUACCUUGUCAUAAAUAAAAAUCUACAUUUCUCUAAAUGGUUUCCAGGCUGUGAUUAGCUGGUAGCUAGGUAACAUCUUAGUAACUCUAAAGAAAUAUAUCAAUUAGGAAAGUAACUUCGCACUGAAGUAGACGAGCAGCACUCAGACAACCCCGGCCAUUUCUGUGGCUGCGAGAUGACGAUGUCCCGCAGCCCUAAUUUACCUCUUUCUUUUGCACGUGAGCUCGGACAUCAAACCCCACAGCCCCGCGCGGCUGAGUUACGGAAGGAAAAACUGCAAGAGGAAGAAUGACAGAACUAGUUUAAACGUAGCCCAUUCCAACAGGUUCCACACAGAUGAAAAAUGACUCAGAACUAAAUAAAGGUAAAGUGCUGUGCCUCAUUUUAAUGAUCAUAAAGAUUAUUUGAAAUCUGCUUGAUUUUUAUGCCGCAUCCACAUCCUCAUAAUCUAUAACUUGUCAAACAUAUCACUGUACACUUAAGAGAACCCCUAAAUGCUAAUGGGCCACAUUUCUCCUAAAGCUUGGUACAGGCAAUUCUGCGCUCAAAUUCUGUAGGAAAAUUGCAGAUGAUUAGAGCAAAUGCCUACAUCCACAGGCUAGAAGCUUAUCUAAACUGGCAUCUGUUGCAUAUUCCAGUAAUUACAAACGUACUUGAAACCAGACAUUAUUGAACUCUGAAGUAACACUUCUUUUUAUCUAGUGAAGGAAAUAGUAAAUAAUAGUGUGGACCUCAUAAAGAUCUAAGUUUCUUAGAAUAGUAUACCUAAGAACUUCAUACUUAAGUAUCAAGAUAAUUUUUUAUUACCUGUAUAUAACAAGGUUCUAUAGAGUAGGAUCCUGUCUCCAGUGAGAUCAAUGGGAAUUUUACUGGUUACUGCAGGGGUACUGGAUUUUACUCAGGAUCUCUGAGAGUGUGGGUUUUGAAUUGACAAAUGCCUAUGUAACGUGAUUCUUUGGAGAAAUUUAAUUAAAGAGAAAUGUGUAAAUCACUUGGCAUUGAGUGGUCCAAGUUUGUUAACAUACAGCACUGAGAAUGAAGCCCAAAUUAGAAGCAAAUAAUGCUAACUCAACUGUGAGCAUUUCAAUAAAACUUACUUUAUGAAGAAGGUUGUGUAGACACUCUGCAUUUUUGUUUUUAACAAAUGUUUUCUGUUUUCUGCUUUCAUUUUUAUGAUCCAAACAAAUUAGGAGGAUUUAUCUGAAAUGUCACAAGCCGAAGCAAACCCCAUUGACUUGGCUUUAUAUUUGCUCUCAGCUAAACCAGGGUCAACAAUUCUUUACUGUAACUUAAUCCUGAAUAAGUGUUUUUGCUAGCUGCUGAAUUGCGUGGGAGGAGGAGCCCAGCAACAGUAGAACUCUUUCACUUGCACUUGUGUUUACAGUACCAGUUCAUAUACUUAGUGGGUUUUAUUUUUAGGAAACAGAAAUAUCUAAUAUCCAUGAGGCUAAGGUUAUCUUGAUUGGAGAUUCUUCUUGUUACAAAAAAUUUAUGUGAUUCCUCUAACAGGGGCGGAACAUCUCUGGCUUCUCAAACAAGCCAGCAGACUUUGGGGGGGCGAUAGUUUUAAGAAAUAUGUUUUGAACUACACUGACUUAAAAACAUGCACAAUUAACAUAGCUUUCUGGUUAUGGCAUUCAAGUUACCGGAUCAGGAUGAUACAUGAAAAAAGCAUGCAGAUAAGGCAUCACUUGCCUGAACAUGUCAUCAGAAACUGGCUUCCCAAAGGUAUGUCUGGAGAAUGAAAACACAGAUGCGUGAUAUUUUUCCAUUUCAGAGCAAUGGCUAUAAUAUCACUGUGAUGCAGACUGCCUUUACGACUUCUUAAUCCCAGUACCAACAGAGGGAGAGUAAUUAAAUUCCCAGAAGCAUCAUGGUGGAGAACUCUCAGUUUAGCGCCAAAUUUCUUGAAAAUAUAUUUGGUGCAGAACUGGGCCCAGCUGACAGCAUUGGGGAAAAGAUUUGCUUUGACGUGGGACACUACACUGUGACAGCCUCUGUUCUUGGGGUAGAAUCAAUAAUCUAACAUAUACCAGACCAUUUCUCUCUCUUGUAGUCUCCUCUGAACUGAAAAUAGAAUUGUUCAUCUUUUUUCACAGUGCGUAGAAAAGUUUGAAGUCAAAAAUAAAUCUCAGAUCCCUCUCAGUAGAGGGACAAUUGCUGUCUUUUCUCUUUAUUGUUAAGAAAAAAGCACGUUGGUCGCACUUCCCUCUUCAAAGCAGCAGGUCAUCACAGAAAGGUUUUUGGUAUUUGAGGAGCAGUUUCCCCAGUGAUCAGUACUUGGAGCAGUGAGAACUGCAGCAGUGUCAGAGAAGCUGGACAUCUCUUCUGCUUGCAGCUCUACUGCAACAUGUCUGACUCCAGCACCAGAGGCCUGGCAUAUAAUGGAAUGAAAAAUUCAUGUAAAUGCUUUGAUGUUCAAUAUAUACAGAAUUUGAAAGGAAUAGGAGAGUUUAUCUUUAAAAGGAAAUUAAUAAAAGACAUUAUAAAGCUAUGCAAAAUAGUGGGUGGUAUAAAGGAAGGUCUGGAAAUUCUUGUUGUGUUUCUCGCCAUGUAAGGAACGCGGGCGUUCACAGGGAGAUACAUGAUGCAGAAAACCCCGAAAGAGCCCAUUCCCUGUUUGAUUUCCCAAUGCGCCCUUGCUGCCAGCCCAGCCGCGGGGGUGCUGGGACAUCCUGCCCCAACCCAGCCCCGCUGGGCUGCUCCAAUCGCAGGUACCUCCAGCAGCAUCCCUGAGGGCUCGCAGCGCUGAAAACUUGUGACUGAAAGCAGAGGGUUUGGCAAGAGAGAAAAAAAUGGUGCAGAAUGGUUCACAUCCCCAGAAAUCCUGCUGAACAAUACCUUUUUCCUUGGAAGAAGUCAUAUUUACAUGGGGAAUUUACAUGUAUCAAUGACUGUGGCAGAAUAUUUUUGAGGAAGCCCCUUGUUAAUAUUUUGGCAGCUUGAGAGUGGUUUUUUUUCCCAGUUACAAAUGUUGCUCCAUCUGCCACAAAACCAUUGGUUCCAAGAGUCUGUCCUUGCCCGUUAAAGGGGCAUCACAGAAACACCCUGUUUGCUGAUGGGAUGUCAGGAGGGGAAGGCAGUAUGAACGUGCCGCCCGCUGCAGUAGCGUGCCCUCAUGGCGAAGAGUUUGCCAUGAGAAAACAAGCCAGCUGGGGUUGGCUUCCUAUUUAUUAGUGAGUGAACUUUUGAUUUAGUUGUAUUUAAUGUCAUUUAGGUAAGAUUUCAAUAAUGCCACUAGCUUGAGUCUGAGUUCCAUCCUAGAAAUAUUGGUGUGAAGGGACCCCUGGAUCAGCUCCCCCGUUCCACUCAAAGCAGGACCAUCACUGACACUGGGUCAGGUCUGCUGCCACUUUCCCUGGCCAAGUCCCAGCUGUCCCUCUCUGAGUAACCUCUUCCAAUACUGCAGUGCCCUCCCGGUCAAGCAGUUCUUCCUCAUGUCCAGCCUGAAGCCCCCAAGCUACAACCUGUGGCCAUUGCCAUUUACUACACCAUCUGUCACUACCCAAAAGAGCUUGGCCCUGUCUUCUUUCCAAAGAAUCAUGGAAUGUCCUGAGUGGGAAGGGACCCACAAGGAUCAUCAAGUCCAACUGCUUGGACCCUCCCCUGGCACAUGCUCCUGCCAUUCCCUGGGCUCUGUCACUGUCACAGAGAAGAGAAGAGCUCAGCCUGCCCCUCCUGCUCCUGCUGAGGAACCUGCAGCCCAUGAGCUCUGCCCUCAGUCUGCUCUGCUCCAGCUGAACAAACCCAGGGACUGUAGCUGCUCCUCACACGGCUUCCCCUCCAAACCUUCACCAACUUCAUGGCCUCCUCUGGACACUCUGCAGUAGCUUUAUCUCCUUUUCUCCCGUGUCCCCAGCCCUGCACACAGUGAAUGCUCCAGGUGAGGCCCGAGCAGAGCGGGACAAUCCCCUCCCUGCCCGGCUGGCCGUGCUGUGCUGGAUGCACCGGGACACGGGUCCCUCUUGGCUCCAGGGACACUGGUGGCUCAUGUUCAACUUGUCAACCAGAACCCCCAGAUCCCUCUCUGCAGAGCUGCUCUCCAGCAUCUCAUCCCCAGUCUGUAUGCGCUGCUAGGGGCCCUCCAACUGCAGUUCAGGCGGUUGCAGCCCGCCAUUAGAUCCCCCUCCGCCUCCUCUGCACCAGACUGAAAACCACGGCCUCCUUAAUCACUUGAAGCGUGUGCUCUGUGAACCUGACCAUCCCCAUCGCCCUCUGCUACCUUCCUGUCCCAUUUCUGAAUGUCCUCUUGACCUGAAGGCCCCAGUGUGCCCCAAGGCUCAUCAGGUGGCACGUUAUAUCUCUUGAGGAGACAGGGAUAAUGAAUUUCCUAAAUCUGCUAGCCACCCUCCUUCAAAAGCAGGCCUCACUUACCAUGAGCACACCCUUGGCUUACAUUCGAUCUGACACCCACUGUAAGCUCCACGUCCCAUCCAGGACAGCUGCUCCUCAGCCAGACCGUCCCCAGCCUGUCCUGGCACAUGGUGAUAUUCUGACUGUGGGACUUUGGACAUCUUGUUAAGCGUGGUGGGCUUUCUGCUGGCCAGAUCCCAAGUUCCUGCAGGUCCCUCCUGAAAAGUUAAUAUUUGGCAUAUCAAUGACUCAAGCCUAAUUUAGUGUCAUUUUCCAGUUUGUUGUGUCUGCAUUCUGUACCAUCAUCCAGGUCCUCAGUGAAGAUGCUACACCGUGUCGCCCUGGGGUAGACCCUGGAGCACUCUGCUUGCCUCCAGCCACCAAACGGGCACUGAGACGUUGACUGUCUGUCCAUCUGGAGUCUCUCCAAAUGAGCUUUCUGACCGUGACACAAGGACUGAAGGAGGAGCUGGUUUUCUGUUUGGAGCAGGAGGGAGAGUCCUCUGUGCCAGGCGAGCCAAGGGCCCCUGUGACACCCGCGUCCCACCCCUGCGUCAGCCCAGGGCCCCAUCUGAACCUCGGCUGCGUCUCCCAACCGCGGCGUUAUUGGCUCACCUGGGACAGAGAAAAAGCUACCAGAACCGACACGUUUCCAUGUCCACCGAAGGGUACAAUGACAAAAAAAUCUACUCCUGCAAGAAUGUCCCAGGCAACCUUCUCAACAGAGGGAGGACGUGCUGCAGAAGGGGAUGUUCAGAGGCUGUUUCAUCAGCCCGCGAGGACACAGGGUGAGGAUAUCUGCAUCCAGUCGAGCUGUGCUGAAACCACCUUUGAUGCCUUUCCCCUUUCCUCCCGUGCUGAAAAUUUGUAUUAGAUUCAAGACUGCUUGAAACAUCUUUGGCCAGGAGGUGCCAGUCCAGCUGGUGAACGUUCUGCCCCUGGGACAGGAACUUGGACCACACAGCUCAUCACCCACAAAGUACUUGACAGACAACACCUAAUAUGUUGGUGGACCAACUUCAACAUUUUUCACUUCAAAAGAGCUUUAAUUCUGACUAUAAUACGAAUACAGACAGAUUUCUCAGCCUGCUUCAGUCUGCUAACCACAGAUACGUAUGUAGGUUGUUUGAUCCAAGUAAAAAAUUGCCACUA
This is a long non-coding RNA of Columba livia (rock pigeon), 5888 nucleotides long. RefSeq lists it as uncharacterized. The transcript is spliced from 5 exons. The record is from RefSeq and is a predicted model, not a curated record. NCBI's taxonomy places the organism in Eukaryota, Metazoa, Chordata, Aves, Columbiformes, Columbidae.